Molecule: transfer RNA, 72 nt
Filed under: Camelus ferus (Wild Bactrian camel)
Lineage: Eukaryota; Metazoa; Chordata; Mammalia; Artiodactyla; Camelidae
Rfam family: tRNA
About the family: Transfer RNA (tRNA) molecules are approximately 80 nucleotides in length. Their secondary structure includes four short double-helical elements and three loops (D, anti-codon, and T loops).
Source: Rfam by way of RNAcentral
GAGGGUAUAGCUCAGUGGUAUAGUGCAUGCUUAGCUUGCGUGAGGUCCUGGAUUCAACCCCCAGUACCUCCA